AACAAAUUGUAUCGAGUUGCACCGGCGCAGCCCAUCAAGACAGAUAGUGAAGCACAGAAAAAAAGAGGGACAGUGUUCAUCACUGUAGGAUGGACUGGCCCAUGGAUCUGCUCCCAUUUCCCCCCUGUGCUGAGCUGGGGGUCCGUCCUCUGAAUGGACUCCUGUGGACCCUGCUGCUCCUCUUCCUAUGGUAUUGUUACAGGGUGGGCUCUGACCCGCCAGCUCCAGGCCGAGCCAUCCCAGGUAAGCACAAGUCCGGCUCCAGGCGCUCUGUGUUGUCCCGCGCCGGCAGCUGUGCUGGAGCAGUGUGCAGUGCCACAUCAAAUGUGGCCACUGGCGAUCGGGGGACUCCCUGCAUCACCAUGGAGACGGGAGAGGAGGAGCAGGGGCAAGGAUACCUGACCCCUGUGCUGAGCCAUGCCCUGUUCCCACCCCAGGCCACAGCGAGUGGCAGGAAGCUGUAUGCAGCACUGCAGGAGUAUGCAAAACGCUACAGCUGGGCUGGCAUGGGACGCAUUCAUAAAGGACUCCGGGAGCAGGCCACAUUAAAUGAUCGCUCCUCCAUCCAAAAGCCUCAUCUCUUCUUCCUCCCAGAUGUCCCCAGCAUUCCUUUUUUCCCACGUGACGCCCAUCGACAUGACAUUGAGGUCUUGGAGGCCAACUAUCCCAUAAUCCUUGCAGAGUUUCAGGCGGUCUACCAGAGAGGCAUUGAUCCAAAGAUUGGCUGGACCGGCCUGGGACCUAAGGGCCAAGCCGUGUUCCCCUUGUACAGCGCAGGCGUGUGUGUAGCAGGGAACUGCCGCUCCUGUCCCUGCACCUACCGCACUCUUCUCUCCUUGCGCACCUUCAUAAGUAGCAACUCCCUGGGGGCCGCCGGGUUCUGGCUGCUAGGGCCUGGGGCCACACUAGGGGGAGUGUAUGGCCCCACCAAUACUCGCCUACGCUGCCACCUCGGAGUGCAGACCCCACCUCAGUGUGAGCUGGUAGUGGGAGGAGAGCCUCAGUGUUGGUCAGAGGGACACUGCCUCCUGGUGGAUGACUCCUUCCUGCACACUGUCUCCCAUAAGGGUCAGUCAACUCCACCUCCCACAACAAGGCAGUCACUCUCAAAACAAACUCAAGCUGUGCUCAGAUUCCAGUUCCCUUUCAGUCAGUCAACUUAGGUACAACAUACACUGCCUCCUGGUGGAUGACUCCUUCCUGCACACUGUCUCCCAUAAGGGGGUGGCAGAGGACGGGCCACGGGUGAUUUUCAGUGUGGACCUCUGGCAUCCAAAUGUGGCUGCAGCAGAAAGACAGGCCCUGGACUACAUUUUCUGCCCUGACCAAUGAACUACAACUUCCACUGUGCACAUGUUCUAGUUGUGCUCCACCCUUAUUUGAUAUGAGGGAAAGGUGCCCAAACUUCGUCUUGAGGGCUGUGCUCUUCAACCUCAAUGUUCAUCCAGUCCGAGUAUCACUGUGUGUGUUACCAGUGAAUCCACUGAAACAGUCCAAAUAGCCAAAGGGAGCUUACCCAUAGGAGUCAGUUCAAUGUCUAGUUUAGAUUUUUUUUUACAUGUUUUUUUUACACCUUUAUUUAACUAGGAAAGUCAG
Oncorhynchus tshawytscha (Chinook salmon) is the source of this 1596-nucleotide RNA transcript. It is a transcript of the gene named aspartate beta-hydroxylase domain containing 1, with no coding region annotated. The transcript is spliced from 6 exons. The record is from RefSeq and is a predicted model, not a curated record. NCBI's taxonomy places the organism in Eukaryota, Metazoa, Chordata, Actinopteri, Salmoniformes, Salmonidae.